This 440-nucleotide ribosomal RNA is filed under the name uncultured bacterium. RNAcentral's name for it is "partial 16S ribosomal RNA". It matches the Rfam family "Bacterial small subunit ribosomal RNA", at positions 338 to 795 of the family's 1533-position model. The record is from RNAcentral.
CCUACGGGUGGCAGCAGUGGGGGAUAUUGCACAAUGGGGGAAACCCUGAUGCAGCGACGCCGCGUGUGGGAAGACGGUCCUCUGGAUUGUAAACCACUGUCCCCAGGGACGAAGAUGACGGUACCUGGGGAGGAAGCUCCGGCUAACUACGUGCCAGCAGCCGCGGUACUACGUAGGGAGCGAGCGUUGUCCGGAAUUACUGGGUGUAAAGGGAGCGUAGGCGGGACUGCAAGUUGGGUGUCAAAUCUACCGGCUCAACCGGUAGCCGCACUCAAAACUGCAGUUUUUGAGUGAAGUAGAGGCAGGCGGAAUUCCUAGUGUAGCGGUGAAAUGCGUAGAUAUUAGGAGGAACACCAGUGGCGAAGGCGGCCUGCUGGGCUUUUACUGACGCUGAGGCUCGAAAGUGUGGGGAGCAAACAGGAUUAGAUACCCUAGUAGUC